Molecule: transfer RNA, 70 nt
Organism: Camelus ferus (Wild Bactrian camel)
Lineage: Eukaryota; Metazoa; Chordata; Mammalia; Artiodactyla; Camelidae
Rfam family: tRNA
About the family: Transfer RNA (tRNA) molecules are approximately 80 nucleotides in length. Their secondary structure includes four short double-helical elements and three loops (D, anti-codon, and T loops). Further hydrogen bonds mediate the characteristic L-shaped molecular structure. tRNAs have two regions of fundamental functional importance: the anti-codon, which is responsible for specific mRNA codon recognition, and the 3' end, to which the tRNAs corresponding amino acid is attached (by aminoacyl-tRNA synthetases). tRNAs cope with the degeneracy of the genetic code in two manners: having more than one tRNA (with a specific anti-codon) for a particular amino acid; and 'wobble' base-pairing, i.e. permitting non-standard base-pairing at the 3rd anti-codon position.
Source: Rfam
AAGGGUAUAGCUCAGUAGUAGUGUGUGCUUAGUAUGCACAAGGUCCUGGGUUCAAUCCCCAGUACCUCCA